This 483-nucleotide ribosomal RNA is filed under the name uncultured bacterium. RNAcentral's name for it is "bacterial SSU rRNA". It matches the Rfam family "Bacterial small subunit ribosomal RNA", at positions 93 to 593 of the family's 1533-position model. The record is from RNAcentral.
UAGUGGCGCACGGGUGAGUAACACGUAGCUAAUCUGCCCUAUGCUAAGGGACAACAGUUGGAAACGACUGCUAAUACCUUAUACUCCGCUAUCACCUAAGUGGUAUCGGGAAAGUUUUUCGGCAUAGGAUGAGGCUGCGGUCUAUCAGCUUGUUGGUGGGGUAAUGGCCUACCAAGGCUAUGACGGAUAGCUGGUCUGAGAGGAUGAUCAGCCACACUGGAACUUAGACAUGGUCCAGACUCCUACGGGAGGCAGCAGUGGGGAAUUUUACACAAUGGGCGAAAGCCUGAUGUAGCAACGCCGCGUGGAGGAUGACGGAUUUAGGUCUGUAAACUCCUUUUAUAAGGGAAGAAAUUYWUGACGGUACCUUAUGAAUAAGCACCGGCUAACUCCGUGCCAGCAGCCGCGGUAAUACGGGGGGUGCAAGCGUUACUCGGAAUCACUGGGCGUAAAGGGAGCGUAGGCGYUUCUAUUAAGUCUUGA